GGGCGACUGGCUCAGUUGGUUAGAGCGCCGCCCUUACAAGGCGGAUGUCACAGGUUCGAGUCCUGUGUCGCCCA
This 74-nucleotide transfer RNA is filed under the name Planctomycetia bacterium. Its description in RNAcentral is "tRNA-Val". It matches the Rfam family "tRNA". From Rfam's summary of the family: Transfer RNA (tRNA) molecules are approximately 80 nucleotides in length. Their secondary structure includes four short double-helical elements and three loops (D, anti-codon, and T loops). Further hydrogen bonds mediate the characteristic L-shaped molecular structure. tRNAs have two regions of fundamental functional importance: the anti-codon, which is responsible for specific mRNA codon recognition, and the 3' end, to which the tRNAs corresponding amino acid is attached (by aminoacyl-tRNA synthetases). tRNAs cope with the degeneracy of the genetic code in two manners: having more than one tRNA (with a specific anti-codon) for a particular amino acid; and 'wobble' base-pairing, i.e. permitting non-standard base-pairing at the 3rd anti-codon position. The record is from RNAcentral. Lineage: Bacteria; Pseudomonadati; Planctomycetota; Planctomycetia.